RNAcentral lists this ribosomal RNA (255 nucleotides) under Pseudomonas aeruginosa. RNAcentral describes it as "partial 23S ribosomal RNA". It matches the Rfam family "Bacterial large subunit ribosomal RNA", at positions 1513 to 1762 of the family's 2925-position model. The record is from RNAcentral. Lineage: Bacteria; Pseudomonadati; Pseudomonadota; Gammaproteobacteria; Pseudomonadales; Pseudomonadaceae.
UAAGGUGGUAGGCUGAAAUCUUAGGUAAAUCCGGGGUUUCAAGGCCGAGAGCUGAUGACGAGUCGUCUUUUAGAUGACGAAGUGGUUGAUGCCAUGCUUCCAAGAAAAGCUUCUAAGCUUCAGGUAAUCAGGAACCGUACCCCAAACCGACACAGGUGGUCGGGUAGAGAAUACCAAGGCGCUUGAGAGAACUCGGGUGAAGGAACUAGGCAAAAUGGCACCGUAACUUCGGGAGAAGGUGCGCCGGCUAGGGUG